Molecule: ribosomal RNA, 456 nt
Filed under: Triticum aestivum (bread wheat)
Lineage: Eukaryota; Viridiplantae; Streptophyta; Magnoliopsida; Poales; Poaceae
Description: partial small subunit ribosomal RNA
Source: RNAcentral
AUGUGGAUGAAGACCGUGUUCUGGGGGCUCCUAGUAUUCAUGCUCGUGGCGACAACAAUGGCGGUCGAGUAUGGUGCAAGGAGCCAUAACAGUGGUCCUUGGAGUUGGUGCGAUCCGGCGACGGGCUACAAGGUGAGCGCACUCACGGGCUGCCGGGCAAUGGUGAAGCUCCAGUGUGUGGGCAGUCAGGUGCCCGAGGCUGUCCUAAGAGAUUGCUGCCAGCAGCUGGCCGACAUCAACAACGAAUGGUGCAGGUGCGGGGACCUCAGCAGCAUGUUGCGUAGUGUUUAUCAGGAGCUCGGCGUGCGUGAGGGGAAGGAGGUGCUCCCAGGUUGCCGGAAGGAGGUGAUGAAGCUCACGGCGGCGAGCGUGCCUGAGGUCUGCAAGGUGCCCAUUCCCAACCCGUCGGGAGACAGAGCAGGUGUCUGCUACUGGGCCGCGUAUCCGGACGUCUAG